RNAcentral lists this ribosomal RNA (411 nucleotides) under uncultured prokaryote. Its description in RNAcentral is "partial 16S ribosomal RNA". The record is from RNAcentral.
CCCUAUGGGGUGCACCAGGCCCAGUAGCGUCAAGCACACUCGCCAAUUCACCGGUGUUUGCCGGGUGGCGUUGCGCGUGCCAGUCUGCCUGUGGGGGGAGCAAGAGCAACCCAGUCAUUAUGUCUGGGACGGCAGGAAGCUCGUCGUCAGGACUAUGACCUGGGCACGUUUCCCCGCAAUCUACGGCCGGCAGGGGCGCCGGCCGCUACAGUGCACGGGCGGCCGCUACAAGCCGGGGACGCCGGCGGUUAAUAUCGUGGGACUAUGAACACGGAUUUCCUUGCUGAUCUCGAACAACGCGAUCUGGUGAACCAGGUGUCCUCGCCGGCGCUGGCGGAGGCGCUGAAGGCCGGGAAGGUGACCGCUUACAUCGGGUUCGACCCGACCGCGGACAGCCUGCACAUCGAGAGC